Peromyscus maniculatus bairdii (prairie deer mouse) is the source of this 567-nucleotide non-coding RNA. The record is from RefSeq and is a predicted model, not a curated record. Lineage: Eukaryota; Metazoa; Chordata; Mammalia; Rodentia; Cricetidae.
CAACAGUCGGCGAAAGGCCGAAGCCUCUGGACUGCGAGGUGCAGAAUGUCAUAGCCUUCCACUCAGUGAUGGUAUCGGGGACUGUGACCUGGACCACCUUGUUUCCUGAGUUACUGUGGACACAACAAGAACCCAAGUGAGACUCCACCGCAUCACUUACCCGACCGGAAACAGUUCCCACAGCCAGGUCUCGGGGAAGUACUGGCGGACCUGGGAGCCCUCUGUCUGCGGCGAUGGCGACGCGAACCCAGUCUUUGGGGCAAUACCGCCACCUGCUGACGAGUCUGAGAAGAAACAUUUGGAAACCGGAAAGCUGGCAUUGUGAGACUGCUAAGUAAGAAACUCAGAGCAAGCCGGAGAACUCACACAAAGCAAAGGACCGCCGAGGAGAGGCGAGAAGCGUCAGGGCAUCCACCUGGAAGAAACUGAACAGGUCCGCGCCUUCAGAGUGCCAGGGUCUCCAGAUGAUGGAAUGCCUGCUCAGUCCCCCUCUGGGCACAGGAUCGAUGAGGGGUCGAGGAAAGUCCCAUGGGCCAAAUGCGGGGCACUCAUCAUACUCAGCCACUU